UUGGUCAACUGGUGUCACACGUCAUUUCAGAAAUGUCAUACCCUGCAGCUCCAGUAUAAAAGCCCCGCCCAUCUUUGAUUCUGUAACCGUAGGUCAUUAUCGUGUUAGCUUUAGCAUGGCUAAUAGGUGCUUUGCCUUCGGUUGUCAAAAAAUCUACUGUCUUCUAUAUCUUUUCAGUGGACUUGGAAGUUGGCGUUGAAUCCACCGAACUUCGUCCUGGUGAUGGAUUUGUAAUGAAUGUUUCACUCUGGAUUGUUGGCUUAAAGCGUUAGCCUUUAUUAGCUAUGAUGCUAGCAGCAUUUUACCACUCAGACCACCCCUUCAGUCUGGACCAUGAGUGUCUGCCUCGGGAGAGGGUGGAGAAGAAAAAUCCUUAACCUCUACAGAAAGUUUUUUGGAGAGAUUGGCAUCACUCUGCUUGGUACCACUCUCCAUAUUGAAGAUGAACAGCACGUGUCAAAGUCAAGGCUCAGGGGACGAUCCGGUCCUCCGGAGAGUCCGCCAUGCUGCUGAGGGCCGACGCUCCCGCCGCCGUGCCGAUGAGGUACUCCAGGAUUAAGUUCCAGCCGAUAAAAAAGGCCACGCACUCGCCCACCGUCACAUAGCUGUACGUGUAGGCGGAGCCCGUGGUCUUAGGCACGCGAACACCAAACUCUGCGUAGCAGACUCCUUUGAGGUGGAGAUGGACAGCAGAGAAGAUGGAUCCAGUAUGGAGGCCACAGCGGCGAUAAUGAAGGACACAAUGACACCGGGGCCGGCCAUCUCCUUAGCAACGAGCCCA
This is a long non-coding RNA of Oryzias melastigma (Indian medaka), 781 nucleotides long. RefSeq lists it as uncharacterized. NCBI's taxonomy places the organism in Eukaryota, Metazoa, Chordata, Actinopteri, Beloniformes, Adrianichthyidae. The record is from RefSeq and is a predicted model, not a curated record. The transcript has 3 exons.